Molecule: long non-coding RNA, 5372 nt
Organism: Callithrix jacchus (white-tufted-ear marmoset)
Lineage: Eukaryota; Metazoa; Chordata; Mammalia; Primates; Cebidae
Source: Ensembl
AUGCAGAACAUUUUUAUGACAUGUGCCUUCAUGUUUCAGAAACACAACACUAAAUACAGAACUCCUUUACAAAGGGAGAGUAACAACGUGAGUGUAACUUUCUUUCCUGUGAGGAUUAGCUCAGUGGGGCAUUAUCACAGUACUCUAUCCAUGGAAAAUCAACAGCUCAGCAAGCAGCAGCAUUUAGUGACAUUUCCCUUGCAUGGGCGAACAUUUAAAUGCAAUGAGAUCAGCAUUCAACAGGACAACAGAGACAAAAGUCAACAAGAGGGGUAUAAAUGUCCACCAAUUGUGAAAAUAUAUUAUUUGCGGGGUCAGGAGAGUUUUAUGCAAAGAACUCCACUCUUCCCUUCUCUCAGGCCUUUCCCUGGAUGCACUUUUGCCUGCUGCAGAACUGGGUUUCCACUUAUUUUCUGUAACCGUCUUAUGCAAAUGCAGCUUCAGCAAGAAGCAAGCAAAGAGACUAUGCCAGGAAUAGCACCUACAGCUUGUGGAUGUCUGUGUUCACAAGCUGAGCUUGUGAACAACAUCAGUCAUGUGUGAUAUGGAGGAAUGAAGGCCGAGAACCUCAAUCACCAUCAAUGGAUGACUGCAUGUGUCCAUAGGUUGCCUGUCAGUGGUCUAGACUCUGCUGCAGCAGUGGUGAUUCUCCUUCCCACUGAAGGUCAUGUUCCCAGAGAUCUAACUCACAGUCUGCAAUUUGGAACUUCUAGAAUGGUGGGUAGUAGCAAAGGCUGUCUACCCUCUGUCCUUCAGCCCUUAGACAAGAAAGAGGACUACACUGUUAAUUAAGCAGAUUGUAAACCGUAUAUCUCAACCCUGUCUUUAGGAGAAGAUUCCAUCAGGUGUCACCACUUUUCCUAAGUCACUGUAGUAAGGCAAAUUCUGUUGUACACCACUGCUUAUGUUUCCGUAGACACAAUGAAGUGGAGAGUUGUCCAAUUAAUCAAUCUUAGUGUACUUGGGAAGUUAAGACCCAUGUAUUUCUCUUAUACACAAGCUUAAUGGUAAAAAUUUUAUUUUAAAUUUGUGAAUAGCACAUCAGAUAGAAAAUUCCAUUUCUGUUUUCUUAAUAAAAAUUACUAACUUUUGUAAAUAAAAAUUUAUAAUUUUCUGUCUCUUGACAAAAGACCUGCUAAUGCUCCACUUCUAGUUCAGGGCUAAUGUAAAAUAAAAUAAAACAAACAAUAAAGACACUCAUACAAAACAAACAAAAACCAAAAAGCUCAUUUUACCCUUUGUAUCAGAUGACACCAGUACAUCUUUUUCUCCACACAUUUCACUUUAUAGUGUUAGCCUUCAAUUCAUUUGUACUUACAAGAACAACAUGUAGGAAUUUAAAUUUUUAUUUUAGAAUAUAAGGUAUCAGAAUAAAUAGAGGCUACCCAUUGAAUAAAAAUGGAUUUCACUCCCAGCAAAGACCCAUUAGAAGUUUUAUUGUACAUUCAACUGUCAAUAGUUCUUUCUAAACCCCUGCAAUAAAUCAGGUUUUCAGAUGACCAUGGUGAUACUGAAUUAUGGGUAGCAUAUUACUUCUCCCUUUCUACAUAAAGAGUGUUUACAUUUGGAGCUUAGAAGCUAAAACCAGUAUAGUUGUGUUAUAUAUUUUUGUUUGAUAAUCAAAAUAAUGCACUAUAUUUAAACUAUGACUUAUGGUUUUACAAAGCACUUUCUCAUGUACCUUCUUCUUUGGACCUUACAAAAGACCGUGGAAAAAGAUUGCUAGACAUUUUAGUUAUCAUCCAUGCAAUGGAAUAUUUUGCAACCACCAAAACAGAAUCAGGGUGAAGUGGAAUAAUGUCAUAUUGUUAAAUUAAAAAAAAAGUUUUAGAAUAAACUGUAUGGUGUGAUUCCAUUUUUCUAUUUAAAAAACCAUAAAAAUAGGAAUCUCACAUUAUAUAUAAUUAUGAAUUCAUUUGAGCCUAGAAAGAUAUGAAUCAAGCUUUUUGAUGGUAUUGUUGGGCUAGAAAAGGGGCAGUGCCACUUCUUAUUUUUAUUUUUGUUUAUUUAUUUAUUUGAGUCAGAAUCUCUAUUGCCCAGGCUAAAGUAUUAUGGUGAGAUCUCAGCUCCCUGCAAACUCCACCUCCAGGGUUCAAGUGACUCUUGUGUCUCAGCCUCCCAAGUAGCUGGGACAAACAGGAGCCACCAUGCCCAGUUAAUUUUUGUAUUUUUAGUAGAGAUGGGUUUUUGCCAUGUUGGCCAGGCUGCUCUUGAAUUCCUGGCCUCAAGAAAUCCUUCAGCCUCGGCCUCCCAAAGUGCUAGGAUUACAGGUGUGAGCCACUGUGCCUCCCCCAGUGCCACUUCUUUUUAUAGAUAUAUACUUCAAAAACUGCAGUGGAAUGAUGGGCAAUUUAAUUAUUUUUAUUUUUUGCAUUUUUUCAAAUAAAAAACUUUCAAAAGUAUUAUCUUCCUUUUGAGGAUGAAAAAGCAAGUCUAAGAAAUUUUAAAUAAUCUGUAAAGUCAUGCAGCUUAAUCCUAAAAUCCAGGCCUCCUGAUUCUCCAGCAACUGCUUUGGCCACUAUAUCCCAAGAACAGAGCACUUGAACUGGAGAUGAGGAUGGAAAAGAAUCAUGAUCUUCAAACCCUACCCUUUGGUAUGCCAUCACCUCAAGAUUUCUUGGUCUACAGCAGUGGUGAUUUAACCUAGUUAGCAAAUAAAAAUAUAAAAUAAAAGUUGCCAAAUGCUUGUAUUUUCUCUUUCAGGGAAUAAGGCAACCUAGCUGACUGAGUCUCCAGAUGGAAAUUCAUAAAUUGUGUUUCUACCCUCCUCAUACAUGUUGGGUGAGCCACUGAACACUGUAUCUCAGUUUCCUCACCUGAGAAAAUAUUAUGCUGACCUAUUUUUUCAGGAUAACUGGGUGGGCUACUUCAUGAUUUAAAACUGCUUUGAAAAUAUAAAGCUCCAUUCAAAAUUGCUUGUCAAGCAUUCUUCCUGGCUUACACCUUCCUUCCUUCUCAUGUCCCUCUCUGGAAUAUAAGCCUUGUAGUCUUGGUGUUUUUCUACAUCUGAUCUAAAAGUCUACAUAAUUAAGCAGCAAUUUUUAAAUUGGAAAUGUGUCCUCUGGUAUUUGGUUCAUAUGUGACUGAAUUUAACAAAGCAUUAUUUUUCUCAAACAUGAAUGCAAAAUGUGUAUGUGUGUGAGUAUAUGUGCGUGUGCAUGCCCAUAAUGUGCAUGUGCAUUUGCUUAGCACAGACAGAAGCCCACUGGGCCAGGACACUUUCCUUGGCCUCAUUUGACACUGUAAAGCUUAACAUCACCUGGACAGUAGGAAGUAGCAGCCUAAGGGUGUGGGGAGUAGAAACUGUUUUCUGUCUUCCUCCAGUCACUUUCCCUGCCUAUCCCAUGAUUGCCCUCUGUGCCAGUCUGUGGGGAAGUGGAAGCCAAGUAUCAGUAAAGCAGUAUGGACAUAAGAAGAAAGAGAUCAGUGGAGUGAAGUCAGGUAUUUUUAUGAGUUACUGUAAUCAACUAAAAUGUUGUAGUGUGAAAGUAAAAUCUACCAAAAAGAGAGUUCUUCCUCAUUCCACCCUACCUCAAACCUUGAUCAGGUCCAGGAGAUAAACAAGAAGGGGAUGUGGGUUGUCACAUUAUAGGCCCACACCCAUAGGACAUUUAAAUACAGGUAUGAAAGGGACACAGGAAAGUCUAGCUUUUUAAGUUACAGCUGAGAUCCUCUUCAAUUGCUCCCUUUUCUUUCAUAUUUGGAUAUGUUCAUGAUUUUAUGUUUUGGGUUAGUAAAAAUGUCUUUCUCCACAUGCACUACACGAUAUUUGGGCCAUAAAUAUCUUGUAACUCUUCCAAUACCUACAACAGUGCUCUGUGCAUAGAAGGUGAUUCAGAAUACCUAAUAAAAAACAGUUCUAGAUGCUGUCUAGUAUGUACCGAAUGCACUGUGAAUCUGGGAUUGUAUCUCGGACUCCUGCCAGCUUACUCUGGCAAUGUGUAUGUUUUUCAUUGAGCGGGCUCUCUUUGGUUAAUGAUCAAAAUCACUCUGAUGUUCCCUAAUACACUCAUGAAGAUCUCACAAACCUAUUUAAAGCAAAAGGGAAUUUAUCCUUUUCCUUCUCUGAUAGGCUCCAAGACUGUGGUUUCUUACAUUUUUGAGGAAGAAAGGAAUCUCCGUGGUCUUGUAGCCCACUCAUCCCCAGUUUCUAUGGUCUCUCCUCUACUUCUCCAUGAAGUGGGCUCCCAGUGUCUGGUUAAAGUUAUUCAGGGAGAGAGAGCACAGUCCCUUCUGAGACAGCCCUUUUCCUCUUUGAACAGCUCUGUUGGACAGAAAGAUAUCCACCACAUUGACUGGAAAUAGAUCUACCCUGGAGUUUUGCCUCAUACGACCAUGGAGAGUUAGCCUAAUCUCUUUUGAAGACAACUCUCAUGUGUCUUUCCAUUUUAUAAGCUAUCUCCAAGUCUCCUCUCAUCCUAGCAAAACAGCCUGGUUUCCUUCUGGCAAACAGCUGCUUGGCUGCUGCAGGUGUCAUGACUUGUGGGAUGGAGAUGAAAUCCUGCAGUUCUCAGAAACCCGCAGGAGACCUGUUUUAUGGAAGAAAUGUGAACAAUCCUCUCCUUUUCCCUUGAUGUCCACUACUAUUGCUGAGGGUGGGUAGCCAGGGUGUGUGCCCAGGCAGGACGACCUUCCUUCCCACCAUCUGAAUGUGCCCUGGUGGGCAGGCGAGUGCCUGCUUCACCCUGCUCCUUCUCUGAGGCAUGGGCAAGAUUGAAACUUGGGAUGACAGGUAAGGAGACACUAAUGUCCCAACCUCUCCCUAUACCACAGCCCUUAUCCUGGGAGCAUUUUUCUGUAAUGUAAGAUCUAAGAUUAAUUUAGCUAGUAAGAGUAAUUACAAGUCUUCUAAAUGUUUCUGGGUUUGGUGCACAUUAUGGUGAGAAACCAUCACGUUCUUCAUCAGUAGGGAGGCUCACAACCAAGAAAACAAACCAGGAUUGAAUAAAGCAACGCUAGUGGGAGUUUUGCUUUUGGCUUUGUUUUAAAGUUAGGCAUAAAAUUAUGGCCUGCAGAGUUGAAAGCAGCUAAUCAUGUUAUGAAUCCUUUAACUAAUGGAGGCAAAAUAAUUAGGUAAUAUGUUCUGUUCUCCUUGGGCUCAAGUGGCAAAAAGUUUUGACUUGAGAUAGUUUGUGUAAGAAGGGGAUAGGCACAUUAAAAUGUACUUUAUAUGAACUAUCCUGUAAUCUCUGAUUCUGGGGGAAACAUGCUGAAAAUUAUUUAAGGAUAGACAUACCUAGGGCAGGAAAUUAAAGUGCUGGCCUGAAAUAUUCAAUCUGAAUAUUUCUGACAGGUUCACCUGUCAUCUCACUAACCGCUCAGGUUGAAUCACUAUUUAGGUCCUGUGUGUGUUCCUGGGCAGUAAAGUCAGG